Molecule: transfer RNA, 69 nt
Filed under: Salmostoma bacalia (large razorbelly minnow)
Lineage: Eukaryota; Metazoa; Chordata; Actinopteri; Cypriniformes; Danionidae
Description: tRNA-Gly
Rfam family: tRNA
About the family: Transfer RNA (tRNA) molecules are approximately 80 nucleotides in length.
Source: RNAcentral
AUCUCUUUAGUAUAAAAAGUACAUGUGACUUCCAAUUACCCAGCCUUGGUUAAACUCCAAGAAGAGAUA